UGCAGCUCUACUGGAAUCAACAUUUAUGUGUCAGUUGGACCAGUACACUCCAAAGCUUCUGGAGCUGUUCAAUGCGAAGGGUGGAGCAGUCCGUCAGCGCAUCCAGAAUUUGUUGAUGGAACUGAUACAGGAUCAAGUGCCUCUGUGGUGAAGAAGAGAGACGUGACUCUGAGAUGCCUCAUUGAGUACAUGGGAGAGAGUGGACAGGAACUCAUUUCUGACUUCAGUGGUGUAGCAGAGUCGAAUGUGCAUGAGGACCUCAUGCACAGCAUGAAGAUCUAUGCUUGUUGUGAGCCAGACACAGUACGCAUCGUCAUCGAGGGAAUCCCUGUCCUUAAGGAUCUUGGCAGUGUAGCGAGGGCAUGCAGCCUUCUCCUCGGGUUAAUGUAUGCCCUUAAUCUUGAGUAUCCACCCAAACUUGCUAAAACCUUUGAGGUUUUCAAAGACUAUUUGUAGGACUGGAUACACUGCACCCAAAACCAACCUCGAGGUUCAUGAGCCUCAAAAACAAGCUGCUGGCCUAUGCAGUCUAACUGUCAGACUUGAGCUCACAAAUGGCUUUUUUGAUGUGUUAAUUGUUUUUAGAGUUAAACUGUUUUGAUAUAUACACAGUAAAAGACCAAGGUGCCAGCUCCCCCCGAUACAUACCAGCGCCAUCCGACCAGCUUUGCAGGAGCCCGGGCACCGAGAUGCCAGCUCACCCCGACACAUACCAGCAUCAGCAGCGACCCGCUUUGCAGGAGCCCCGGGCAACGGGAUGCCAGCAUCCCCUGGUACACACCAGUGCCAUCCAACCAUCCCUGUAGGAGCCCUGGGCACCAAGAUGCCAGCUGCCCUUGAUACUCAGCUCAACUCUGAUCUAAUCUGUGUUCAGGUCUGGAGUGACCCAGCACUUGGUACUUUGGUCAUUAUUGUGGUGAUGUUAAUUGUUGAUGAUGAUAACGGAGAGUCUUAAA
This is a long non-coding RNA of Notolabrus celidotus (New Zealand spotty), 956 nucleotides long. RefSeq lists it as uncharacterized. Lineage: Eukaryota; Metazoa; Chordata; Actinopteri; Labriformes; Labridae. The transcript is spliced from 3 exons. The record is from RefSeq and is a predicted model, not a curated record.